GCGCAUUCUCAGGGCAGGGUGAAAUUCCCUACCGGCGGUAAAGCCCGCGAGCACUUAAAAGUGCGGUCAAUUUUAACCGCACUUUUGAGGUUAGCAGAUUUGGUGAAAUUCCAAAGCCGACAGUAUAGUCUGGAUGAAAGAGAAUAAAG
Molecule: non-coding RNA, 149 nt
Filed under: Rodentibacter rarus
Lineage: Bacteria; Pseudomonadati; Pseudomonadota; Gammaproteobacteria; Pasteurellales; Pasteurellaceae
Description: FMN sequence
Rfam family: FMN riboswitch aptamer (RFN element)
About the family: The RFN element is a highly conserved domain that is found frequently in the 5'-untranslated regions of prokaryotic mRNAs that encode for flavin mononucleotide (FMN) biosynthesis and transport proteins. This element is a metabolite-dependent riboswitch that directly binds FMN in the absence of proteins. In Bacillus subtilis, the riboswitch most likely controls gene expression by causing premature transcription termination within the 5' untranslated region of the ribDEAHT operon and precluding access to the ribosome-binding site of ypaA mRNA.
Source: RNAcentral